RNAcentral lists this ribosomal RNA (744 nucleotides) under uncultured Actinomycetes bacterium. RNAcentral's name for it is "bacterial SSU rRNA". It matches the Rfam family "Bacterial small subunit ribosomal RNA", at positions 28 to 776 of the family's 1533-position model. The record is from RNAcentral. Lineage: Bacteria; Bacillati; Actinomycetota; Actinomycetes.
GACGAACGCUGGCGGCGUGCUUAACACAUGCAAGUCGAGCGGUAAGGCCCUUUCGGGGGUACACGAGCGGCGAACGGGUGAGUAACACGUGAGUAAUCUGCCCUCCACUUGGGGAUAAGCUUCGGAAACGGGGUCUAAUACCUGAUAUGACAACUACUCGCAUGGGUUGGUUGUGGAAAGUUUUUUCGGUGGGGGAUGUGCUCGCGGCCUAUCAGCUUGUUGGUGGGGUAAUGGCCUACCAAGGCUUCGACGGGUAGCCGGCCUGAGAGGGUGACCGGCCACACUGGGACUGAGACACGGCCCAGACUCCUACGGGAGGCAGCAGUGGGGAAUAUUGGACAAUGGGCGGAAGCCUGAUCCAGCAACGCCGCGUGAGGGAUGACGGCCUUCGGGUUGUAAACCUCUUUCAGUACCGACGAAGCGCCCGUUGUGGGUGGUGACGGUAGGUACAGAAGAAGCACCGGCCAACUACGUGCCAGCAGCCGCGGUAAUACGUAGGGUGCGAGCGUUGUCCGGAAUUAUUGGGCGUAAAGGGCUCGUAGGCGGUUUGUCGCGUCGGGAGUGAAAACUCAGGGCUUAACCCUGAGCCUGCUUCCGAUACGGGCAGACUAGAGGUAUGCAGGGGAGAACGGAAUUCCUGGUGUAGCGGUGAAAUGCGCAGAUAUCAGGAGGAACACCGGUGGCGAAGGCGGUUCUCUGGGCAUUACCUGACGCUGAGGAGCGAAAGUGUGGGGAGCGAACAGG